UGCAAGUCGAACGGGAAGAGAUGAAGAGCUUGCUCUUUAUCGAAUCCAGUGGCAAACGGGUGAGUAACACGUAAACAACCUGCCUUCAGGAUGGGGACAACAGACGGAAACGACUGCUAAUACCGAAUACGUUCCACGGGCCGCAUGACCUGUGGAAGAAAGGGUAGCCUCUACCUGUAAGCUAUCGCCUGAAGAGGGGUUUGCGUCUGAUUAGGCAGUUGGUGAGGUAACGGCUCACCAAACCAACGAUCAGUAGCCGGUCUGAGAGGAUGAACGGCCGCACUGGAACUGAGACACGGUCCAGACUCCUACGGGAGGCAGCAGUGGGGAAUCUUCCGCAAUGGACGAAAGUCUGACGGAGCAACGCCGCGUGAGUGAAGACGGCCUUCGGGUUGUAAAGCUCUGUGAUCCGGGACGAAAGAGCCUGAGGUAAAUAGCCUGAGGAAGUGACGGUACCGGAAAAGCAAGCCACGGCUAACUACGUGCCAGCAGCCGCGGUAAUACGUAGGUGGCAAGCGUUGUCCGGAAUUAUUGGGCGUAAAGCGCGCGCAGGCGGCUUACUAAGUCCAUCUUAAAAGUGCGGGGCUUAACCCCGUGAUGGGAUGGAAACUGGAAAGCUGGAGUAUCGGAGAGGAAAGUGGAAUUCCUA
This 649-nucleotide ribosomal RNA is filed under the name uncultured bacterium. Its description in RNAcentral is "bacterial SSU rRNA". It matches the Rfam family "Bacterial small subunit ribosomal RNA", at positions 56 to 672 of the family's 1533-position model. The record is from RNAcentral.